Molecule: long non-coding RNA, 1400 nt
Organism: Hordeum vulgare subsp. vulgare (domesticated barley)
Lineage: Eukaryota; Viridiplantae; Streptophyta; Magnoliopsida; Poales; Poaceae
Exons: 3
Source: RefSeq, a predicted model, not a curated record
UAGCUGCAACCAAUCGUGCAGAUAUACUUAAUCCUGCUUUACUCCGUUCUGGUCGCCUGGACCGAAAGAUUGAGUUCCCUCAUCCGACCGAAGAAGCAAGAGCUCGGAUUUUGCAAAUUCACUCAAGAAAGAUGAACGUACAUCCUGAUGUCAACUUUGAGGAGCUGGCUCGUUCAACUGAUGAUUUCAACGGUGCACAGCUGAAGGCUGUUUGUGUGGAAGCUGGCAUGCUUGCUCUACGGAGGGAUGCUACAGAGGUUUGUGCUGAAUCUUGUUCACUUGAGACACUGGUGUCUUUAUGGAAGUAUCAAUUUGUCGGUAGAUAAUGGAAGAUGAUAACCGCAGAUGAAGUUGAUUAGGAUCUUGAUAAUCAGAAAAUUAAAUUCUAAACAGAUCAAAAUUAGGUCUACGGUAUUUCAGCAUGAACUGUACAGCUUGAAAUAUAAUGCGACGCCCAAUGUCGCCGUAGCCACCGCUACCUUGCCCUCCCUCCGAACCUUUGCGAGCAGUGCCCUGUAUAGGAAGGCCUUCCCGGUGCCUCCCGGGCCAUCGACAAAGAAUACACCCCAUCACCGGCAUCUACUGCUGCCAGGAUCUCGUCGUAUGCAAGCCUUUGCUCAUGGUGAGGCUAAGUAUGGCGCUGCUGCAAGGCCAAGUGCGUGGAGGAGCACCUCCAUCCCCCAAGUACGACUUCCCAUCUGACGCCCAUGAAGCGAGUACUCUGCUUCUCUCUAUUGCCUACAAGGACAGAUUUACGUGGAGUAGAAAUUAUAGGAUUAUAAGGUUGAAUAUAAGGAGGAACAGAACAUAUGGCUAGCUAGAUAUUUGUUCGGGAAUAUUUUCAUGUCAACCUAUGAGAGCCCCUUUUCUGCCAUGGAUUUGGAUUCUUUGCAGAUGGCGUAGAAGAGAGAUGAGAAAGAUAUGCAGACAACAAAGUUUCUCAAAUGGAUAUGAACAGUUUAGUUCCUCCCUCUGUUAUGUUUCCACAACCUGAGAUUUCCAACUCCAAACUUGACCUCCCUACCAGAUAAAAGGACGUGGUGGAGGGCGUUUUUCUUGUCGGGGUUGCCCUGGAUGUGAGAAUCCUACUUGGUGAAAGUCAUUGGCGUGCUUCUCUGUCUUAUGUCAUCUUGUACAAAUAUAUGGGAGGUUUGCUCUGCCUUAUAUCAUUGCUUAUUACACAUGGCAAAGCUACACUCUAGAAUUAAUCACUAUUAACCACUUUACAAGGAAAAAUGUGACUAUUUUGGCAGCCAUAUGUUCAUGAUGUGAAAUAGGUUGUUAUUUUGUAGCAUCCCACAUGUACUAGACAACGGAACAAUAUUUAUCAUGUUUCAACACAUGGGUCUUUUGGUACAAAGGAAAAAGGGCAACUAUUGUAUUUGUUAACACUGUUCCUG